GAUGAACGCUGGCGGCGUGCCUAAUACAUGCAAGUCGAGCGAACAGACGAGGAGCUUGCUCCUCUGACGUUAGCGGCGGACGGGUGAGUAACACGUGGAUAACCUACCUAUAAGACUGGGAUAACUUCGGGAAACCGGAGCUAAUACCGGAUAAUAUAUUGAACCGCAUGGUUCAAUAGUGAAAGACGGUUUUGCUGUCACUUAUAGAUGGAUCCGCGCCGCAUUAGCUAGUUGGUAAGGUAACGGCUUACCAAGGCAACGAUGCGUAGCCGACCUGAGAGGGUGAUCCGCCACACUGGAACUGAGACACGGUCCAGGAUCCUACGGGAGGGCGCAGUAGGGAAUCUUCCGGAAUGGGCGGAAGCCUGACGGAGGAAAGGCGGGGGGAUGAAGAAGGUCUUCGGAUCGUAAAACUCUGGUAUUAGGGAAGAACAAAUGGGUAAGUAACUAUGCACGUCUUGACGGUACCUAAUCAGAAAGCCACGGCUAACUACGUG
This 497-nucleotide ribosomal RNA is filed under the name uncultured bacterium. RNAcentral describes it as "partial 16S ribosomal RNA". It matches the Rfam family "Bacterial small subunit ribosomal RNA", at positions 28 to 507 of the family's 1533-position model. The record is from RNAcentral.